GGGAAUAUUGGACAAUGGGCGCAAGCCUGAUCCAGCCAUGCCGCGUGAGUGAUGAAGGCCCUAGGGUUGUAAAGCUCUUUUGUGCGGGAAGAUAAUGACGGUACCGCAAGAAUAAGCCCCGGCUAACUUCGUGCCAGCAGCCGCGGUAAUACGAAGGGGGCUAGCGUUGCUCGGAAUCACUGGGCGUAAAGGGUGCGUAGGCGGGUCUUUAAGUCAGGGGUGAAAUCCUGGAGCUCAACUCCAGAACUGCCUUUGAUACUGAAGAUCUUGAGUUCGGGAGAGGUGAGUGGAACUGCGAGUGUAGAGGUGAAAUUCGUAGAUAUUCGCAAGAACACCAGUGGCGAAGGCGGCUCACUGGCCCGAUACUGACGCUGAGGCACGAAAGCGUGGGGAGCAAA
RNAcentral lists this ribosomal RNA (398 nucleotides) under uncultured bacterium. RNAcentral describes it as "bacterial SSU rRNA". It matches the Rfam family "Bacterial small subunit ribosomal RNA", at positions 357 to 772 of the family's 1533-position model. The record is from RNAcentral.